Molecule: ribosomal RNA, 253 nt
Filed under: uncultured bacterium
Lineage: Bacteria
Description: partial 16S ribosomal RNA
Rfam family: Bacterial small subunit ribosomal RNA
Source: RNAcentral
UACGUAGGGAGCUAGCGUUGUUCGGAAUCACUGGGCUUAAAGCGUGUGUAGGCGGAUGCCUAAGUACCUUGUGAAAUCCCACGGCUCACCCGUGGAACCGCUGGGUAUACUGGGCAUCUUGGGCCAUUCAGGGGCAACUGGAACAAGCGGUGGAGCGGUGAAAUGCGUAGAUAUCGCUUGGAACGCCGACGGUGAAAACAGGUUGCUGGGAAUGUGCCGACGCUGAGACACGAAAGCCAGGGGAGCAAACGGG